GCCACGGUGGUCUAGCGGUUAGAACGCUGGCCUUGUAAUCCUGGGGUCCGGGGUUCGAUUCCCGGCGGUGCCC
Molecule: transfer RNA, 73 nt
Filed under: Zootermopsis nevadensis
Lineage: Eukaryota; Metazoa; Arthropoda; Insecta; Blattodea; Termopsidae
Rfam family: tRNA
About the family: Transfer RNA (tRNA) molecules are approximately 80 nucleotides in length. Their secondary structure includes four short double-helical elements and three loops (D, anti-codon, and T loops).
Source: Rfam by way of RNAcentral